Fukomys damarensis (Damara mole-rat) is the source of this 2988-nucleotide long non-coding RNA. RefSeq lists it as uncharacterized. NCBI's taxonomy places the organism in Eukaryota, Metazoa, Chordata, Mammalia, Rodentia, Bathyergidae. The transcript has 3 exons. The record is from RefSeq and is a predicted model, not a curated record.
AUUUGCUUGCUAUUACCAGGGUUGCAUAAUUGUUGCUACUAAUGGGUUUUCUCUACAAGCCAACAAUCAGAUUAUCUAUAUGACAUUAGCCAUACUGAAAUAGUUUCUCAGAGAACUCAGAGUUAAGCCAGUCACCCUGUAUUCCUACCAUUAAACAAGGGGGUUGGAUCUUGGGAUAGAGGCAGAGGACUGUUUUUAGCUAUGCCCAAAGUACAUCACAGAAAAGUGACCAACAGAGAUCUCUAUACUAGCAACAAAGUCUUUACAUAGUAAGUGUCCAUAAACCUAAGCACAAAGCAAAACAGAAGGAUACCCCCCAAAAAACACCUGCAACAGAAACAUGAGAAGACUAGGCAAGAAAGUGCUUCCUGCAAUUCCUAACUGCCCUGGAGCCAGUCCAAGAGGGGUCGAGGGGGAGGAUAGCAGAAGCCUCCCAUGGAAGUACUACAAAGAAGAGCAGGGGAGGUUAGAAAACAGAACAAGGAGGUAGUGAGGGAGGUUACAGAGUGUACAAGUAGACAGAUAGCGGAGGUGUUAAUGAAAAAUUUUGUCAGCAAUUCUUCAUGCAGAGGACUGACAACUAGAAUGUAUAAAGAACUAAAAAAAUCAUUAGACCCCCCCCAAAUAAAAGACCCAAUCAAAAAGCAGGCAAAUGAAAUGAAUAGGAACUUUUCAGAAGAAGUGCAAGCGGCCAAUGAAUACAUGAAAAAAAGUUCAAAUCACUGGCUAUUGGAGAAAUGCAAAGGAAAACAACACUGAGACUUCAUCUCCCUUCAGAUAGAAUGGGUGUCAUCAAGAAAUCAAAUAAGAACAAAAUGCUGGUGAGGCUGCAGAGGAAAAGGAGCCCAUCUGCAUUGUUGGUAGGCAUGUAAACUAGUACAAGCACUGUGGAGGCCAGUAUGGAGAUUCUUUAAAAAACUAAAACUAAACACUCUAAUUUAACCACAUGGCCUUCAAGUCAUCUUCCUGAAAGAAAGUGAUACUAGCAUACUUGUGUUUUAUAACAGCUAAUUAUUGGAAACAACCUGAAUGCCCCUCAGUAGAUGAAUGGAUAAAGAGAAUGUGACAUUUGUGCACCAUGGAGUAAUACUUUGUCCUAAGGAAGGAUAAACAGGAGGAAUUAAUAGACAAAUGGACACGCCUUGAGUCUAUAAAGUUAAGUGAAGUAAAUCAGAUACACAGAUUUAUGUAUCACAUAGAAUUAAAGAGCAAAAUAAAAGACAUCAUAGGAAGUAGAAAGUAGAGAGAUCUUUUUAAAAGGUAAGCGGAACAAGAGUUGGAGGGAGGUAGAAGGAAGGGAAAAGGGAUUUGACACUUUCACAAGGGGGCCUUAACUCCUAUGUCUCACUGCUGGGUGAUGGGAACCACUGGUGAUACGUGCGUGAUGGUCCCAUUGUGCAGCUUUUUAUUAAUUUGGUUAGUUAAGAUGCUGAUAAAAGUAUUAGAUCCUUUUACAAAUGGACAGCCAUACAUGUACUAGCAGUGGGUUUGAGCCAACAGGAGCGUGUUAAAAAAGGAUUGAAAAAAUGGAAAGAGAGUUUUUUUCAAAUGGGAAGUAGAAUAAGACGUGGAGCAGGGAUGUCUGGGAGAGGAAAGAGACACAAAAAAAGAACUAAGAUAUGCUAUGUACAUGCACAAACUCUCCACAAUAAAUGUAAUAAUUAUGUAUUUCCAACAUAAUAAAUUUUUUACAAAAAGAGCUGAGUCAUAGGGUUUGGGGUACACUAGAAGACUGGAUUAUAAACAUGCUAUCUAAUUUAAUUCUAAGUUGUUAAACGGAUGAAUUUGGUUAUUGAGGCUCAGAGGAUUUGAAGUUUGAAGGCUCAAGGGUGGGUUUGAGCCUAGCUCUGAUGUCAAAGCCUCACCUGACAAGCCUGCUGCAGCUGGGAUUGUGACAUCAGAAAAGUGGCUCACAUUUCAGGCCUGUCCCUCCCAUUUGGGACAGUGCUUUCAAAAGCUUUGGCUGAGAAAGGACUUGCCUGCAGAUUUACCGAAUUUGCCUACCGAUUUACUGAAUUUGUCUACAGAUUUACUGGAUUUGCACUCGUUCACAUUCCUACAGCUUCGGCUGGAAGGCAGACAUGCCUUGGGCAUCCUCCAAAAAUAACUGGAGACAGUGCGUCCACCCUUUGAUAGUCACCCUCUACCUGGUAUCCAUCAUGGUGGCAGUUCCCCUGUGUGUAUGGCAGCUAGAGCGGGUCCAGAAAACUGGUCAAGCAAGCUCAGAGAGAAAAUCCUUAAGCCACUGCAUGGACCCAGAACAGAAGAGGAAUCCAAAGUUAAGGACAUGUGAACGUACCGCCCGGUAGGGCCCUUCACCCCCCUCCCAAACAGCUCCCUCUGGACCUACCCAAAGGAAACGUGGAGAGCAGGUUAGGCACACAGGACUACGUAGAGGUAAAGCGUCAAACUCUUGGAAGUAAGCAAGUUGGGCCUGACCCCUAAAGGAGGGUCCUGGGGCCGUGCUGACGUGCACAGGGGUCAGAGGCUGCCAAAGCCCCAGCAGACAGGGGCACUUCUGGUGUUUUCCAGCAGCUGGCGAUUAGCAUCUUGUGUGGGAUUUUCUGCACACUGUGGGAUAUUUACCAUCCUGAUCGUCCACCCAAAUGCCUCUAAAUUCCUGGCACUAUGUUCAGGAAACACGUUCGGCAUAUUUCUAAAUGCCCACUGGGGGGCAGUAUCAUCUUGAUUACAUUAUCAUGUAUUUCCCAAUAAAAACACUUUCUAAAAAUGUAGAAGGAUAUAAUUGAAAGAUCGUAGUUGAUGUUUGUCUUCUCAGUUGUUUUUGUUUUUGUUUCUGUGUUUUUGUUCUCCUCUCCACUGCCAGGCCUCCCUUGGUCGCCACUGAGUCAAUAGAAUUCAUUACUUCAGGACUGGUGUGACAUAACCACGAACAAAGACAUCUAUGUUUCCGAAGGACAUCUUAAAAUCCAAAGGAGGGAAGUGGUUCCAGCGCCUGCCUUGCAAGCGCAAGAUCCCGAGUGCGAU